UCUACUCUACUUAGUCUGUGCUCGGCGAGCUUGGGCGACGCAAUAAAAACUAAUCUGAUGUCUGUCAUUCCGUGAUGUGAUGUCAAAUAUUGUAGUUAUUCUUCUUUGUUUUGUGAGAUUGUGUAUAAUUUGUACCUACAGUCAUUGAUUUUAACAUUUUUUAAAGAGUGAGCUCACGUUGUAUCUAUAAAAUGAGCACGUCGAGAGGAAACGUGUCCCGAAAAAGACCACAAAAACAUCAAAAUAAAACAGCUUUUAAAAACGACUUGCAUGAUACAAGCAAAAAAACUAAAUUAUUGAACUCUUUGGAAAUAUCAGGACUAUGUAAGAGGUGCAAGGAUAUCAUUGAUUGGAAGAUUAAAUAUAAGAAGUACAAGACUCUUACUGCUCCUGGGAAAUGUGUGGCUUGUGGUCAAAAAACGGUCAAGCAUGCAUACCACGUGAUGUGUUCCAAAUGUGGUGCUGAUAAGAAUGUUUGCACAAAGUGCUGCAAACACCCAGAAAAUGAUGAAGGAUCAAUGCAAAGUAAUGCAGAGUCAAUCCUAAAUACAGAUUUGGAGGCAAUGCUAAAAAUGUUACCAGAAAGGAAGCGUCGAUCAAUACUUAGGUUUAUAAAUAAACAUGAUGAUGGUGAAAAUAAAAUAACUCCUGAGUUGAUGUCUCACAUUGAAGAACUGACUGCUGGUAUUAAUAAUACUAAUAUUGAUGAUGAUGAUGAUAUGGACUUUUUAAGUGAUAGUGAUGAAGAAAAGUAAAGUAAAGAUUUAAUUACAGGUAUAUUUCUCUUUUACAACAGCUAUAAAAGUUAAUGUUUUAAAUAUAUUUAAUAAAUGAAUUAUACAUUAAAAA
RNAcentral lists this unclassified non-coding RNA (849 nucleotides) under Pectinophora gossypiella (pink bollworm). RNAcentral's name for it is "uncharacterized protein C9orf85 homolog". The record is from RNAcentral. Lineage: Eukaryota; Metazoa; Arthropoda; Insecta; Lepidoptera; Gelechiidae.